UUCUUGAAUAAUAAGACAAGUUCUCUGGUAGAACUAUGCCAGUAGCAAUAGUAGUAUCGAGUCUGGAUCUCAGUGGAGGAACUUUGGGAAGCCCUCCUUGCCUCUCUCCUUAGUUUACUGCCCCCCUCAGAAGGUAAACCUGUGCUAUUCCAGCGUUGGCCCCCACAGGUUACCCUCGCCUGUCCUGUGCUGGGCUGUGGCUGUCUCCUUUCACUUAGCACUUCUGUCUGUGAGCAUCUCCCCUGUACUUCUCCGGGGCGGGCAGCCUCGUGGGCCUGAGCCCUCAGCCCUGGGAUCCUGAUGAAGUGUUCUGUGAGAGUAAAGACUGUUUUUUUAUCAGACAACUUUUUACAUUUUCUUCUGAAUUUAGAUAGUUGAUCAGGUUCACCCUACAGCAUGAAGCGGUGAUUGAAUAAAUAAGCAUGAAACAUGUGCCUGCCCUGAAGACGUCGGUGUGUGUGUAACUGGCUUUUCUUGGCCUCAUGAAGCAAAUGUCUUCUCACUCCAUGUGAAGAUGCUCAGCCAGACUUUCUUUUCGGGGAAGCUGGGCAGGACAGAGCUUUUCAUUUCUCCACAGUGUCAUGGGCAGAUGGGGAGAAAAAGUUCUUAAGACUGACAGGGACCCACUGGGCCUGUGCUCAGUGAUCCCAGGGUG
This 655-nucleotide long non-coding RNA is filed under the name Pan troglodytes (chimpanzee). RNAcentral describes it as "long non-coding RNA NONPTRT004165". The record is from RNAcentral. Lineage: Eukaryota; Metazoa; Chordata; Mammalia; Primates; Hominidae.